AAUGGGUCAGUAGGAGCCCAGUUAUUUGUUUAAGGUGAACUGACUCCUAAAGUGGAAAUUUCAGAUGCAGGAAGUAAAAAUCCAGUCACAAAGUACUCAAUUAGUUGGUUGAAACAAAACCGUGGCCUGGAUUUUUACUUUCUGGACCUGAAAUUUCCACCUCUGACUGACUGAGCACUAAUGUGAGCUUAGUGAGUGUUAAGGUGAGCCGACUGGGCAUUAAUGUGAGCUUAGUGAGUGUUAAGGUGAGCCGACUGGGCAUUAAUGUGAGCUUAAUGAGUGUUAAGGUGAGCCGACUGGGCAUUACCUUGAGCCUAGUGAGUGUUAAGGUGAGCCAAUGGCAUUACCUUGAGCCUAGUGAGUGUUAAGGUAAGCCGACUGAGCAUUACUUUUUGCCUAGUGAGUGUUAAGGUGAGCCGUCUGGGCAUUACUUUGAGCCUGGUGAGUGUUAAGGUGAGCCGACUGGGCAUUAUUUUGAGCCUAGUGAGUGUUAUGGUGAACAGAUUGACUUUAGAUUAAUUUAGUGAAUGUUAAAGUGAGCUGGCUAAGUGUUAAGCUACAUGUUUCGGUUUAGCCUAUAAGACCUUCAUCAGCAAUUGUCUCUCUCUCUCCUUCCCCUUCUCCUG
Long non-coding RNA from Brienomyrus brachyistius, 626 nucleotides. RefSeq lists it as uncharacterized. The transcript is spliced from 3 exons. The record is from RefSeq and is a predicted model, not a curated record. Lineage: Eukaryota; Metazoa; Chordata; Actinopteri; Osteoglossiformes; Mormyridae.